CAGGAUGAACGCUGGCGGCGUGCCUAACACAUGCAAGUCGAGCGAUUACUUCGGUAAAGAGCGGCGGACGGGUGAGUAACGCGUGGGUAACCUGCCUCAUACACAUGGAUAACAUACCGAAAGGUAUGCUAAUACAGGAUAAUAUAAGAGGUUCACAUGGAUUUCUUAUCAAAGCUCCGGCGGUAUGAGAUGGACCCGCGUCUGAUUAGCUAGUUGGUAAGGUAAUGGCUUACCAAGGCGACGAUCAGUAGCCGACCUGAGAGGGUGAUCGGCCACAUUGGAACUGAGAUACGGUCCAAACUCCUACGGGAGGCAGCAGUGGGGAAUAUUGCACAAUGGGCGAAAGCCUGAUGCAGCAACGCCGCGUGAGUGAUGAAGGCCUUCGGGUCGUAAAACUCUGUCCUCAAGGAAGAUAAUGACGGUACUUGAGGAGGAAGCCCCGGCUAACUACGUGCCAGCCGCCGC
RNAcentral lists this ribosomal RNA (465 nucleotides) under uncultured bacterium. RNAcentral describes it as "bacterial SSU rRNA". It matches the Rfam family "Bacterial small subunit ribosomal RNA", at positions 25 to 518 of the family's 1533-position model. The record is from RNAcentral.